This 318-nucleotide ribosomal RNA is filed under the name Triticum aestivum (bread wheat). RNAcentral's name for it is "partial small subunit ribosomal RNA". The record is from RNAcentral. Lineage: Eukaryota; Viridiplantae; Streptophyta; Magnoliopsida; Poales; Poaceae.
AUGUGUGCACGAUAUCAAGCGGCCCCUAAAGAAUGUCAUCUUAAGGCUGUGAAAAGGAUAGUGAGAUACUUACUACACACAUCAAAUUUUGGCAUUUGGUAUCCUAAGAGGUUUUCUUUCAAUCUUGUUGGUUACUGCGAUUCGGACUAUGCCGGAGACAAGGUUGAUAGAAAGUCCACUUCGGGUACUUGUCAAUUUCUUGGUAGAUCUCUUGUGUCUUGGUCCUCCAAGAAACAAAACUCGGUAUCCUUAUCCACCGCCGAAGCGGAAUACAUUGCCGCUGGUUCAUGUUGUGCUCAAUUACUUUGGAUGACCUAA